This 725-nucleotide ribosomal RNA is filed under the name uncultured bacterium. Its description in RNAcentral is "bacterial SSU rRNA". It matches the Rfam family "Bacterial small subunit ribosomal RNA", at positions 8 to 730 of the family's 1533-position model. The record is from RNAcentral.
AGAGUUUGAUCAUGGCUCAGAUUGAACGCUGGCGGCAUGCUUUACACAUGCAAGUCGAACGGUAACAGGCCGCAAGGUGCUGACGAGUGGCGAACGGGUGAGUAAUGCAUCGGAACGUGCCCAGUCGUGGGGGAUAACGCAGCGAAAGCUGCGCUAAUACCGCAUACGAUCUAUGGAUGAAAGCGGGGGACCGUAAGGCCUCGCGCGAUUGGAGCGGCCGAUGUCAGAUUAGGUAGUUGGUGGGGUAAAGGCUCACCAAGCCAACGAUCUGUAGCUGGUCUGAGAGGACGACCAGCCACACUGGGACUGAGACACGGCCCAGACUCCUACGGGAGGCAGCAGUGGGGAAUUUUGGACAAUGGGCGCAAGCCUGAUCCAGCAAUGCCGCGUGCAGGAAGAAGGCCUUCGGGUUGUAAACUGCUUUUGUACGGAACGAAACGGCUCUGGUUAAUACCUGGGGCUAAUGACGGUACCGUAAGAAUAAGCACCGGCUAACUACGUGCCAGCAGCCGCGGUAAUACGUAGGGUGCAAGCGUUAAUCGGAAUUACUGGGCGUAAAGCGUGCGCAGGCGGUUUUGUAAGACAGGCGUGAAAUCCCCGGGCUCAACCUGGGAAUGGCGCUUGUGACUGCAAAGCUGGAGUGCGGCAGAGGGGGAUGGAAUUCCGCGUGUAGCAGUGAAAUGCGUAGAUAUGCGGAGGAACACCGAUGGCGAAGGCAAUCCCCU